AUUCUGGUUGAUCCUGCCAGUAGUUAUAUGCUGUCUCAAAGAUUAAGCCAUGCAUGUCUAAGUACACACGAAUUAAAAGUGAAACCGCAAAAGGCUCAUUAUAUCAGUUAUGGUUCCUUAGAUCGUUAACAGUUACUUGGAUAACUGUGGUAAUUCUAGAGCUAAUACAUGCAAUUAAAACAUGAACCUUAUGGGACAUGUGCUUUUAUUAGGCUAAAACCAAGCGAUCGCAAGAUCGUUAUAUUGGUUGAACUCUAGAUAACAUGCAGAUCGUAUGGUCUUGUACCGACGACAGAUCUUUCAAAUGUCUGCCCUAUCAACUUUUGAUGGUAGUAUCUAGGACUACCAUGGUUGCAACGGGUAACGGGGAAUCAGGGUUCGAUUCCGGAGAGGGAGCCUGAGAAACGGCUACCACAUCUAAGGAAGGCAGCAGGCGCGUAAAUUACCCACUCCCAGCUCGGGGAGGUAGUGACGAAAAAUAACAAUACAGGACUCAUAUCCGAGGCCCUGUAAUUGGAAUGAGUACACUUUAAAUCCUUUAACAAGGACCAAUUGGAGGGCAAGUCUGGUGCCAGCAGCCGCGGUAAUUCCAGCUCCAAUAGCGUAUAUUAAAGUUGUUGCGGUUAAAACGUUCGUAGUUGAACUUGUGCUUCAUACGGGUAGUACAACUUACAAUUGUGGUUAGUACUAUACCUUUAUGUAUGUAAGCGUAUUACCGGUGGAGUUCUUAUAUGUGAUUAAAUACUUGUAUUUUUUCAUAUGUUCCUCCUAUUUAAAAACCUGCACUAGUGCUCUUAAACGAGUGUUAUUGUGGGGCCGGUACUAUUACUUUGAACAAAUUAGAGUGCUUAAAGCAGGCUUCAAUGCCUGAAUAUUCUGUGCAUGGGAUAAUGAAAUAAGACCUCUGUUCUGCUUUCAUUGGUUUUCAGAUCAAGAGGUAACGAUUAAUAGAAGCAGUUGGGGGGCAUUAGUAUUACGACGCGAGAGGUGAAAUUCUUGGACCGUCGUAAGACUAACUUAAGCGAAAACAUUUGCCAAAGAUGUUUUCAUUAAUCAAGACCGAAAGUUAGAGGUUCGAAGGCGAUCAGAUACCGCCCUAGCUCUAUACAUA
Molecule: ribosomal RNA, 1111 nt
Organism: Drosophila sechellia
Lineage: Eukaryota; Metazoa; Arthropoda; Insecta; Diptera; Drosophilidae
Rfam family: Eukaryotic small subunit ribosomal RNA
Source: Rfam